The sequence is a Y RNA, 104 nucleotides long. It matches the Rfam family "Y RNA". Rfam says of the family: Y RNAs are components of the Ro ribonucleoprotein particle (Ro RNP), in association with Ro60 and La proteins. The record is from Ensembl.
AGCUGGUCCAAAGGUAGUGAGUUAUCUCAAUUGAUUGUUCACAGUCAGUUACAGAUCUCUUUGUUCUACUCUUCCCCUUUUUCACUAUUGCACUUCACUAAAAA